AUUCUGCUGAUUUUCUGUUCAGCCUUACAGCCCUUAAAUAACACCCAGUGCUCUGCUCUUCCCAGGUUCCAGCCACACAACCUUCCACCCUCAGACUGCACCACAGGCUCUUGUCCUGCAUCACCUGGCACCUCUCCAAUGCCCUGGCAGAGCUGAGAGCUUCAGGCAGUUCAUUUACUUAUUUAAAAGCCCAGGAGCUGGAAGAGAAAUCCACUGCUGAAAACCACACUGCAGCAUCUUCCUGCCAUGGGCUGAGCACAGAACGAGGACACCCUGAAAUCUUCACCCUCUGCUUUAGCAAACUCCAGCUUUUACUCCCCUGAAGUCCAAGGAAACUCCCAGCAGAGCAGGCAGAGCCCUCCCUGACCUCGUGGCUCAGGAAGCACAGCAAGUUCCCAACAGGCACAGCCAUUCCCAGGCAGCAUUUCCCAACCCUGAGGUCAUGCUACCACUGCACCUGAUCCCUAAAUCCUUUCCCAGCCCUCCAUAAAGCCUCUGCUUCACAGAGGUGAUUUCAGCUCAGCAUCUGAGGGACGUUAAACUGCCUGAGUUGUGGCCUGAGGACAGCCCUGCACCCUGUGGGGAUGGGAACUCCUCUGUCCUGCCCUAAGCACUGACAAACCCAGCCCCUGCAAGGAAACACCAGGGGAAUGUUUGCCCCAGCCCAAGUGGCAGAGGCUGCUCUGCUGCCCCUGCCAGAGCCAGAGCAGAGCUCUGAGCCAGCCCUGGCCCCCAGCCCCACACAGCAGCUCUGCACCUUGCCUGCCCCAAGCACAGCACUGCCAGGGAUGGUUUUAACUUUGGUGUUUUCCAAAUUCUCUGCUGCCUGGUAACUCUGGCACUUCCUCUCAGGUGUUAGCAGGUUCUCUUCACAGGGUAGUUGGACAAAGCAAUCCCUUCCCAGCUGGAGAAUCAAGGACAGCCUCUACCCAAAGAGCACAAACAAUGCAAAGAGAAGGGGGCAAGCCAGGGGGCAGAGACUUCAUGACCUGGAGCUGCAAUUGGACAACUGAACCCAAUAUGUAGAUGAACCAAAACUGAUAGAAGUGUAAAAACUCCUGACCAGGAUCCAUCUUAAAUUCAGCCUGGGUGCAGCCCUGGCCAGGCUGCUGUGCUGCCCAAGGUGUGUCCUUUUAAGGCCUUGCAAUAAAUACUUAUUUUGUCCAUUUA
Haemorhous mexicanus (house finch) is the source of this 1170-nucleotide long non-coding RNA. RefSeq lists it as uncharacterized. NCBI's taxonomy places the organism in Eukaryota, Metazoa, Chordata, Aves, Passeriformes, Fringillidae. The record is from RefSeq and is a predicted model, not a curated record. The transcript is spliced from 2 exons.